RNAcentral lists this ribosomal RNA (270 nucleotides) under uncultured bacterium. RNAcentral's name for it is "partial 16S ribosomal RNA". It matches the Rfam family "Bacterial small subunit ribosomal RNA", at positions 355 to 616 of the family's 1533-position model. The record is from RNAcentral.
UGGGGAAUAUUGCACAAUGGGCGCAAGCCUGAUGCAGCCAUGCCGCGUGUGUGAAGAAGGCCUUCGGGUUGUAAAGCACUUUCAGCGAGGAGGAAGGGUUCAGUGUUAAAUAGCACUGUUCAUUGACGUUACUCGCAGAAGAAGCACCGGCUAACUCCGUGCCAGCAGCCGCGGUAAUACGGAGGGUGCAAGCGUUAAUCGGAAUUACUGGGCGUAAAGCGCACGCAGGCGGUUUGUUAAGUCAGAUGUGAAAUCCCCGCGCUUAACGUG